This is a long non-coding RNA of Tupaia belangeri chinensis (Chinese tree shrew), 166 nucleotides long. RefSeq lists it as uncharacterized. The record is from RefSeq and is a predicted model, not a curated record. Lineage: Eukaryota; Metazoa; Chordata; Mammalia; Scandentia; Tupaiidae. The transcript is spliced from 2 exons.
ACCGCGGUUUGAACCCUGGACCCAAUGGCUUGAAAAUCACAACAGAUGCAUGUGUGUAUGCACCCAAAAUCAUGAGAGGAGAAUGAAGGAAAGGAGACUACUGCAUGGUCAUCUCCUUGUGGCGUGAGAGAUUUGGAGUCCUGAUGUGAGACAAAAACAUUUUUAA